UACGUAGGCAGCAAGCGUUGUUCGGAAUUACUGGGCGUAAAGAGUGUGUAGGCGGUGCUCUAAGUUUGGUGUGAAAUCUCCCGGCUCAACCGGGAGGCUGCAUCGAAUACUGGAAUGCUAGAGGGUGGGAGAGGUAAGCGGAAUUCCUGGUGUAGCGGUGAAAUGCGUAGAUAUCGUCUGGAACGCCGAAGGUGAAAACAGCUCGCUGGGGUUGUGCUGACGCUGAGACACGAAAGCCAGGGGAGCGAACGGG
RNAcentral lists this ribosomal RNA (253 nucleotides) under uncultured bacterium. RNAcentral's name for it is "partial 16S ribosomal RNA". It matches the Rfam family "Bacterial small subunit ribosomal RNA", at positions 524 to 776 of the family's 1533-position model. The record is from RNAcentral.